GGAUGCCAGCCCAGGGGGAGGGACCUGGGCCCGGCGCUGGCCCGCCCUAUCCCGUCCAGGUGCUGCUGCCGGCGCCGAGCUGGAGACGGAGCGGCCAGCCCCGGCCCCAUGGACAGCCUCGCCCCCUGGAAGGGGGCCCGGCGGAAGAGCGACAGCAGACCUUCCAGGUCCAACCUGAACGUGGCCUUGGAGGAAUGCAUGACUGCCCUGGACCUCUUCCUCACCAACCAGUUCUCCGAGGCGCUCACCUACCUGCAGCCCAAGUAGGAGCCUCACUUGUUGGGGAUGGGGGAUGGGAGGGGGCUCCUCCCUCAGCAGAUGUUUCCAUCUGUGUGAUGGGCAGCACCCAGCAGCCUCGGAGCUUCUUGCCCUCUGCUAUGAAUCAGCUUCCUGGCAGGUCCUUUAACCGCUUGGAGCCUCUGUUUUCUCAUCUGUAAAAUGGGGGAAAUCAUGGCUCCUCCCUCUCAGGGCUGCUGGGAGGAUCAAAUGAGAUCACCCCCCCCAGUACCGAAUGAAUGCUGGGGCUAACGAUGGGACAGUCCCUGCUUGCAGGGGGCUUACGGUCUUCUGGGGGCCGGCACCCACGUACUCACCUCGGGGUCAGGGAGGGCUUCAUGGAAGCAGAGGUACUUGGGUAGAGCUUCGGACGGGAAUGAGGCUUCUGAGGAGGGUCACUGAGGAGGGCAGGCAUCCCAGGCAAGGGGCACGACCUAAGCAAAGGCAAGGAGAUGAGAGAAGGAACGUCAAGAUGAUGAAAUAGUCAGCAGGGCCAUUUUGGACCGAAGGACUAGAGAGGCAAAAAGGCUUAUCCAAAGCUACACAGCCAGUCAUUACCAGGACCAGACUGUCAACAGGAAAGUGAGAGGAGCAGGGGAGAGAGAGAGACAGAAGAGGGAACUGGGGGGGC
This 907-nucleotide long non-coding RNA is filed under the name Monodelphis domestica (gray short-tailed opossum). Its description in RNAcentral is "lncRNA (ENSMODG00000049834.1)". The record is from RNAcentral. Lineage: Eukaryota; Metazoa; Chordata; Mammalia; Didelphimorphia; Didelphidae.